UGGAAGGGUAGCGAAGAGGCUAAACGCGGCGGACUGUAAAUCCGCUCCUUCGGGUUCGGGGGUUCGAAUCCCUCCCCUUCCAUAGU
This 86-nucleotide transfer RNA is filed under the name Streptococcus salivarius SK126. RNAcentral describes it as "tRNA-Tyr". It matches the Rfam family "tRNA". Rfam says of the family: Transfer RNA (tRNA) molecules are approximately 80 nucleotides in length. Their secondary structure includes four short double-helical elements and three loops (D, anti-codon, and T loops). Further hydrogen bonds mediate the characteristic L-shaped molecular structure. tRNAs have two regions of fundamental functional importance: the anti-codon, which is responsible for specific mRNA codon recognition, and the 3' end, to which the tRNAs corresponding amino acid is attached (by aminoacyl-tRNA synthetases). tRNAs cope with the degeneracy of the genetic code in two manners: having more than one tRNA (with a specific anti-codon) for a particular amino acid; and 'wobble' base-pairing, i.e. permitting non-standard base-pairing at the 3rd anti-codon position. The record is from RNAcentral. Lineage: Bacteria; Bacillati; Bacillota; Bacilli; Lactobacillales; Streptococcaceae.